Molecule: ribosomal RNA, 471 nt
Filed under: Triticum aestivum (bread wheat)
Lineage: Eukaryota; Viridiplantae; Streptophyta; Magnoliopsida; Poales; Poaceae
Description: partial small subunit ribosomal RNA
Source: RNAcentral
AUGUUACAGUGGGUUUGGAAGAAUUGGGCUCCCCCCAAAUGCAAAUUUUUUGCCUGGUUGGUUAUCAACAAUAGGAUUUGGACGGCCGAUAGGCUCCAACGACGUGGAUGGCCUAAUUGUGAUCGUUGUCCUCUUUGUAAGCAGGUGCAAGAAUCCGCGGCGCACAUCCUCUUCCGGUGCCGCUACACUGUUCGAGUUUGGGGUAUAGUCAAAUCUUGGCUUGGCCUGGGGGAUGUGCAUCCUUCGGCUUGGGUGGUGAUGGAUUCGGUGAAGUCUUGGUGGAACCUGAUUGCAUCCAACACAUCGCAGUCGCGCCGGCCGAUGCUCUCUCUUAUGAUGCUAGUCUCAUGGGAAAUCUGGAAAGAAAGGAAUGCUCGUGUCUUUAGGGGCACCGCGGUGCCGGUGGGGUUAUUGUUGCUAAAAUUAAAGAUGAGUACAAGCUGUGGUGUUUCGCGGGGGCUAAGUGCUUGA